CACAUAACCUGUAAUAAUUUUUGUUCGGUGCAGAAACAACCAUGGAAAACAUUAUAUGGAGAAUAUCUCAUUUUGCAUACGAGUAUUUCGCUGAAAAAGAAAAUUCUGUGAAAUCAACAUUUUGGGCUACAUAGUCGUUGUUAAAGUCAACUCUGUUAAUAUAAAACAGCAUAGAUAUAAUCUAAGUACACCAAGUUCUCAAGCAAAAAAUAUAGGUUAUGUUUCCCAGAAAUCAAAUAUAUUUACAAGAGAAAACUUACGAAAAUUUUUAACAGAGGCCCGUGAUUAAUGUACCUAAUGUCAAAGGUAUAUUUUUUAUUCGAAGUUGUAGGAGUAUGCGGAAAGGAAGAAUUUGAACAAUUUUCUUGUAUCUACAUAACCUAUAAUAAGCUUUUAUUAUUAUUACAGAAGAGAUUAUUAGCUUACAUGCCCAUUUUAAAUGAAAGUAUGAAGCAUACCUCUUAUUUUUCGGCACUUUUAAUAUUUUUGCUUGCAGAAAGAUCUGCAGCAAUUGCAAAAUAGAGAUGGAUAGCAAUAAUAACAAGCAGUUUACAUGCAUUCGACCGAACUUGCAAAAACUGGCAGAUAAUAUAUCAAAUUUAUUACCUAAAAACUCAGCCACAGUUUAUGAAAAACGGUAUGAAUUUUUUUUUUUUGCGCAGAAACAACCAUGCAAAAUAUAUGGAGAACACCUCAUUGCAUACGAGUAUUUCGCUGAAAAAGCAAAUUCUGUGAAAUCUUUAACACUUUGGGCUGCAUAUUCGUAGUUAAAGUCAACUCUGUUAAUAAAAAACAGCAUAGAUAUAUCUAAGUACACCAAGUUUUCAAGCAAAAAAUAUAGGUUACAUUGCCAAGAAAUCAAAUAUAUUUACAAGAGAAGACUUACCAAAAUUUUUAACAGAAGCCCGUGAUUAAAUGUACACGAUGUUAAAGGUGAUCUCAAACAAGGUCAAUCACAUUGUCUAUAAAUCAUUAUGUUUUAGGUUUAUUUUUUAUUAGAAGUUGUAGGAGCAUGUGGAAUGGAUAAAUUGAAAAAUAAUGACGGCAUUCAAGACAAAAACGAUACGCUAAUAAUUAAAAUUCCAACGUCUAAAACUGGCAAAGCACGAGAAUUUACAAAUAUGUGUAAAAAUAUUUAUCCAAUUGAAAUAUAGUAAAAAUACCUAAUUUUAAGACCGCACCAUACACCAGACAAAUCAUUAUUUAUACAUUACAUUUGGAUAGUGAAUGCAGCAGCUGCUGCAUUGUACAAAUAUACCUGCAAACACACUGUAACAAAUUAUGCAGACACCUCUUUUGACUAAAAGAUAUAUAUUUAACUUUAUCCAUACGUUGUCAACUUUGUUAAUAAUUGCAAUCUCUAACUUCAUAAGAAAUAUGAAUAAUCUACUUUGGUGUUUUAUAGUAGUAUUAAAUGUUCAUAGAAUAUAAUUGCACUUACUACGAAGUAAGCUUUCCUAGUUUUAAGUUGUUUUCUUUUCUCUUUGAUUAUCUUAAUUUCUUCAGCCUCUAUGUGGCUGUUUUAAUUCCAAAAAAUUGUUUCUGAAUAAACUGAUUCAUACCA
This is a long non-coding RNA of Zophobas morio, 1564 nucleotides long. RefSeq lists it as uncharacterized. The record is from RefSeq and is a predicted model, not a curated record. Lineage: Eukaryota; Metazoa; Arthropoda; Insecta; Coleoptera; Tenebrionidae. The transcript is spliced from 3 exons.